UUUUUUCCCGCCAAUGGGGGCGAAAGGCCCUGACCGGAGCCAAUGCCCGCCGUGGAGGUAGAAGGCCCCCACGGGUCGUGAACUUCUUUUCCCCGGAGAAGAAGCAAUGACGGUAUCUGGGGAAUAAGCAUCGGCUAACUCCUGUGCCAGCAGCCGCGGUAAUACAGAGGAUGCAAGCGUUAUCCCGGAAUGAUUGGGCGUAAAGCGUCUGUAGGUGGCUUUUUAAGUCCCGCCGUCAAAUCCCCAGGGCUCAACCCUGGACAGGCGGUGGAAACUACCAAGCUGGAGUACGGUAGGGGCAGAGGGAAUUUCCCGGUGGAGCGGUGAAAUGCGUAGAGAUCCGGAAAGAACACCAACGGCGAAAGCACUCCUGCUGGGCCGACACUGACACUGAGAGACGAAAGCUAGGGGAGCGAAUCCCCCGAUUAGAUACCCCAGUAGUCCUAGCCGUAAACGAUGGAUACUAGGCGCUGCGCGUAUCGACCCGUGCAGUGCUGUAGCUAACGCGUUAAGUAUCCCGCCUGGGGAGUACGUUCGCCCACCGCAAUGAAACUCAAAGGAAUUG
RNAcentral lists this ribosomal RNA (565 nucleotides) under uncultured cyanobacterium. Its description in RNAcentral is "bacterial SSU rRNA". It matches the Rfam family "Bacterial small subunit ribosomal RNA", at positions 359 to 912 of the family's 1533-position model. Lineage: Bacteria; Bacillati; Cyanobacteriota. The record is from RNAcentral.